RNAcentral lists this ribosomal RNA (16 nucleotides) under Paxillus obscurosporus. RNAcentral describes it as "partial 28S ribosomal RNA". RNAcentral also lists the same sequence under 2 other names. The record is from RNAcentral. Lineage: Eukaryota; Fungi; Basidiomycota; Agaricomycetes; Boletales; Paxillaceae.
GACCUCAAAUCAGGUA